Molecule: ribosomal RNA, 193 nt
Filed under: Nonomuraea pusilla
Lineage: Bacteria; Bacillati; Actinomycetota; Actinomycetes; Streptosporangiales; Streptosporangiaceae
Description: partial 16S ribosomal RNA
Rfam family: Bacterial small subunit ribosomal RNA
Source: RNAcentral
GCGCAAUGGGCGAAAGCCUGACGCAGCGACGCCGCGUGGGGGAUGACGGCCUUCGGGUUGUAAACCUCUUUCAGCAGGGACGAAGUUGACGUGUACCUGCAGAAGAAGCGCCGGCUAACUACGUGCCAGCAGCCGCGGUAAUACGUAGGGCGCAAGCGUUGUCCGGAAUUAUUGGGCGUAAAGAGCUCGUAGC